UACGUAGGGGGCAAGCGUUAUCCGGAUUUACUGGGUGUAAAGGGGGCGCAGACGGCGAUGCAAGCCAGGAGUGAAAGCCCGGGGCCCAACCCCGGGACUGCUCUUGGAACUGCAUGGCUGGAGUGCGGGAGGGGCAGGCGGAAUGUAUGGUGUAGCGGUGAAAUGCUUAGAGAUCAUACAGAACACCGAUUGCGAAGGCAGCUUACCAAGCUACUUCUGACGUUGAGGCACGAAAGCGUGGGGAGCAAACAGG
RNAcentral lists this ribosomal RNA (253 nucleotides) under uncultured Eubacteriales bacterium. RNAcentral describes it as "uncultured Clostridiales bacterium partial 16S ribosomal RNA". It matches the Rfam family "Bacterial small subunit ribosomal RNA", at positions 524 to 776 of the family's 1533-position model. The record is from RNAcentral. Lineage: Bacteria; Bacillati; Bacillota; Clostridia; Eubacteriales.